ARCGAACGCUGGCGGCAGNCCUAACACAUGCAAGUCGAGCGAGGACUUCGGUCCUAGCGGCGGACGGGUGAGUAACGCGUGGGAACGUGCCCCUUGCUGCGGAAUAGCCCCGGGAAACUGGGAUUAAUACCGCAUGAUCCCCCUGAUCAUGGAGAUCUGGGGGCAAAGAUUUAUCGGCAAGGGAUCGGCCCGCGUUGGAUUAGGUAGUUGGUGGGGUAAUGGCCUACCAAGCCGACGAUCCAUAGCUGGUUUGAGAGGAUGAUCAGCCACACUGGGACUGAGACACGGCCCAGACUCCUACGGGAGGCAGCAGUGGGGAAUCUUAGACAAUGGGGGCAACCCNNNUCAAGGGCAUGCCGCGUGAGUGAUGAAGGCCCUAGGGUNNNNNUAAAGGGGUCAGCUGGGAAGAUAAUGACUGUACCAGCAGAAGA
This 431-nucleotide ribosomal RNA is filed under the name uncultured bacterium. RNAcentral's name for it is "partial 16S ribosomal RNA". It matches the Rfam family "Bacterial small subunit ribosomal RNA", at positions 29 to 488 of the family's 1533-position model. The record is from RNAcentral.